GAAUGUGUUCCUUUAUUACUAGUUGUUGGAGGGUCCUUGUUGACAUCUUGCAGAGGUCUGGCUGUCACUUUUAAUCAGAAUGGCUAUUCCCCACUCCUGCUGAAGAGCUCCAGGCCUGGCGGGGGUGGGCUGGCGGGCUGUGGUGGUGGUAAGGGCUGUCCCCCAGCACACUGUUAGAACUUUACUUAUCCUCUUGCUUGAAGUGUGGGAGCUGGAGACCAUUCAGGAAGCUGUGGUUACAGUCCCAGACAGGGUCCCUAAAAGCAAGGAGCCAUUCCCAAUGCUUCCUCCUUAGGGAAGCCUUCCCUACUUUCUCUUCCCUCUUCUGGGCAGAGUUUGUACCUUCCUCCUUUUUGCUCUCUGUUUAUUUCUUUAAUUUAACACUUAACAACAUAAUACCAUCUUUAUUUGUUCCAUGUUUGUAUCUUCUACUGAAUGUGGCUUCAAGAACAGAAAGCACAGAACGUGGCACGUUGGAGGAAAUCAAAAGAAAUCUCGCCAUUGCCGGGAAUGGGUAAAUCACUCAGGCCGCGUGGGUCCUUGGCAGAUGGCAGAGGCGGCUUCCCAGUCCCCCACCUGGCACUAGAGGGACGGGGCGCGCACCCAACGGUGGCACGCAUCGCCGAAUUUUCCUGAAUGCCGCUGUGGCACAUUCCUGGCCUUUGCAGUUAUUAGGAAAUGAGAGGAUCUUUUUUCCUUCUACUCUCCCCUCCCCCUGCCUUCGUUUUUCUUCCAGGCAUGGAAUUAUCUACUUUAGCAGUUCAAAAGACAUUCCAUUCCCAUGACAAAGACAGAAAGGGGUGAUGUUGGCAUACUGUAGCCCUCUUUCUCAUAGGGAGACUUGAGCAAUAAAUCAUAAUGAAUGAGAAUUUAAAA
Molecule: long non-coding RNA, 876 nt
Organism: Homo sapiens (human)
Lineage: Eukaryota; Metazoa; Chordata; Mammalia; Primates; Hominidae
Product: long intergenic non-protein coding RNA 887
Source: Ensembl